Choloepus hoffmanni (Hoffmann's two-fingered sloth) is the source of this 208-nucleotide non-coding RNA. The record is from Rfam. NCBI's taxonomy places the organism in Eukaryota, Metazoa, Chordata, Mammalia, Pilosa, Megalonychidae.
AUUUCAGUUUUAGAUUGAGGUCAGGGGCUGUUAAAAGAUAUAAGAAAUUUUAUAAUGGGUCAUAUGCAUUUAGUUCGUGGCCCAGUUUAUGACCACAUAAAGGACAUUAUUUUCUGAUUAAUGCCAACUUUGAGUUUAGGAUAUGUUCUGGACAUACUUGCCCUUAAUUAUUUUUGUAGAUGUUUCUGUUAGCCAUUAAUGAAACAAU